Molecule: ribosomal RNA, 431 nt
Filed under: uncultured bacterium
Lineage: Bacteria
Description: bacterial SSU rRNA
Rfam family: Bacterial small subunit ribosomal RNA
Source: RNAcentral
AGAGUUUGAUCCUGGCUCAGGACGGGGGGGGGGCGGCGUGCCUAACACAUGCAAGUCGAACGAGGUUAAUCCGGUAGCAAUACUGGUGACUGCCUAGUGGCGAACGGGUGAGUAGCACGUGAGCAACCUGCCCCGAAGACCGGGACAACACCGGGAAACCGGUGCUAAUACCGGAUACCCCCACCUAAUCGCAUGAUCUGGUGAGGAAAUGGAUUCCGCUUCGGGAGGGGCUCGCGGCCUAUCAGCUAGUUGGUGAGGUAACGGCUCACCAAGGCUUCGACGGGUAGCUGGUCUGAGAGGACGAUCAGCCACACUGGGACUGAGACACGGCCCAGACUCCUACGGGAGGCAGCAGUGGGGAAUCUUGCACAAUGGGCGAAAGCCUGAUGCAGCAACGCCGCGUGAGGGACGAAGGCUUUCUGAGUUGUAAA